CAUGUAGGCGGCAUGACAAGUCUGGUGUGAAAUAUCUCGGCUCAACCGAGAAAACGCACUGGAAACUGUCAAGCUUGAGUAUCGGAGGGGAAGCUAGAAUUCCUGGUGUAGGGGUGAAAUCUGUAGAUAUCAGGAAGAAUACCGGUGGCGAAGGCGAGCUUUUGGCCAGAUACUGACGCUGAGAUGCGAAAGCGUGGGGAGCGAACAGGAUUAGAUACCCUGGUAGUCC
Molecule: ribosomal RNA, 229 nt
Filed under: uncultured bacterium
Lineage: Bacteria
Description: partial 16S ribosomal RNA
Rfam family: Bacterial small subunit ribosomal RNA
Source: RNAcentral